CCAUAUAAUUAUAUGACAGCAUCUCAAAUUGAGAUGUUUCUGCAUUUAAUAAUUUCUGAGGCGUAUUAUGUAUCUUUAUGAUGUAUCAAGUAUAUAUGAUGUAUAGUGUAUUUGUAAUAUUGAAAUAUUCGAUAAAGCCCUCCGAAGGGGCCUUAAAAAAAGCGGCGACGCAAAAACGGAACAUUCGCGCGCGAAUAUGUUCUCGCGUUUUUCGAAUUUUAUCAAAACGUCGAAAAUGUGAAAGUUAAAACCCGGACGUCGCCGCACGUCGCGAACAAGAAACGUAACGCGAGUGUGUUUCUAAACUUCUCGAAAAAAAAGUAACGCGAGUGCAAGUGUUUCGAAGCUUUUACGAGAGGAGGAGGAGGCCUGGGAUGGCAUCGAACAACGGCGGAACAACUACAUGUUUACAACUUGGUUUACGUUGCUGUGUAUCGGUUUGGGAAGUGCAUUUUGGCGACUUAGCGUCUUAUGG
Molecule: non-coding RNA, 475 nt
Organism: Nylanderia fulva
Lineage: Eukaryota; Metazoa; Arthropoda; Insecta; Hymenoptera; Formicidae
Source: RefSeq, a predicted model, not a curated record